UCUCUCUGUUCUUUAUCAAUGUAUUGAUUUCAAAGCAUUGAUUAUGUGUCAGGGAAACGG
Molecule: microRNA precursor, 60 nt
Organism: Gadus morhua (Atlantic cod)
Lineage: Eukaryota; Metazoa; Chordata; Actinopteri; Gadiformes; Gadidae
Source: Ensembl